AUACGGAGGGUGCAAGCGUUGUCCGGAUUUAUUGGGUUUAAAGGGUGCGUAGGCGGUGCGCUAAGUCAGUGGUGAAAUCCCGCAGCUCAACUGCGGAACUGCCAUUGAUACUGGCGCACUUGAGUACGGACGAGGUAGGCGGAAUUUAUGGUGUAGCGGUGAAAUGCAUAGAUACCAUAAAGAACACCGAUAGCGAAGGCAGCUUACUAGACCGUAACUGACGCUCAGGCACGAAAGCGUGGGGAGCGAACAGGAUUAGAUACCCCAGUAGUCC
This 274-nucleotide ribosomal RNA is filed under the name uncultured bacterium. RNAcentral's name for it is "partial 16S ribosomal RNA". It matches the Rfam family "Bacterial small subunit ribosomal RNA", at positions 523 to 796 of the family's 1533-position model. The record is from RNAcentral.